AGAGUUUGAUCCUGGCUCAGAACGAACGCUGGCGGCGUGCUUAACACAUGCAAGUCGAACGAGAAAACCCCUUCGGGGGUGAGUACAGUGGCGCACGGGUGAGUAACACGUGGGUAACCUACCCUCGGGUAUGGGAUAACGGUUGGAAACGGCCGCUAAUACCGUAUAAGACCACGGGUUCUUCGGAACCUGAGGUAAAAGGAGGCCUCUCCAUGGAAGCUUUCGCCCAAGGAUGGGCCCGCGUACCAUUAGCUUGUUGGUGAGGUAACGGCUCACCAAGGCUCCGAUGGUUAGCUGGUCUGAGAGGAUGAUCAGCCACACUGGAACUGACACACGGUCCAGACUCCUACGGGAGGCAGCAGUGGGGAAUAUUGGGCAAUGGGGGAAACCCUGACCCAGCGACGCCGCGUGAGUGAGGAAGGCCUUCGGGUCGUAAAGCUCUGUCGGGAGGGAAGAACGCGUCGAUGGUUAAUACCUAUCGGCGUUGACGGUACCUCCAACGGAAGCACCGGCUAACUCCGUGCCAGCAGCCGCGGUAAUACGGAGGGUGCAAGCGUUGUUCGGAAUUACUGGGCGUAAAGCGCGUGUAGGCUGAAACAUAAGUCGGAUGUGAAAUCCCCGGGCUCAACCCGGGACCUGCAUUCGAUACUGUGUUUCUUGAGUACGUGAGAGGAGAGCGGAAUUCCUAGUGUAGAGGUGAAAUUCGUAGAUAUUAGGAAGAACACCGGUGGCGAAGGCGGCUCUCUGGCACGAUACUGACGCUGAGACGCGAAAGCGUGGGGAGCAAACAGGAUUAGAUACCCUGGUAGUCCACGCCGUAAACGAUGAGUACUAGGCGUGGGGGGUGUUGACCCCCUCCGUGCCGAAGCUAACGCAUUAAGUACUCCGCCUGGGAAGUACGGUCGCAAGACUAAAACUCAAAGGAAUUGACGGGGACCCGCACAAGCGGUGGAGCAUGUGGUUUAAUUCGACGCAACGCGAAGUACCUUACCUGGGUUGAACUACGUAUGGAUCGCCAUGGAAACAUGGUUUGCCUUUCUUUGAAAGGACCCGUGCGAUAGGUGCUGCAUGGCUGUCGUCAGCUCGUGUCGUGAGAUGUUGGGUUAAGUCCCGCAACGAGCGCAACCCUUGUCCUUAAUUGCCAGCAUUUAGUUGGGCACUUUAAGGAGACUGCCGGCCCUUAAGCCGGAGGAAGGUGGGGAUGACGUCAAGUCCUCAUGGCCCUUAUGCCCAGGGCUACACACGUGCUACAAUGGCCGGUACAAUGGGUCGCAAUCCCGCGAGGGGGAGCCAAUCCCAAAAAACCGGUCUCAGUUCGGAUUGGAGUCUGCAAUUCGACUCCAUGAAGUCGGAAUCGCUAGUAACCGCGUAUCAGCAUGACGCGGUGAAUACGUUCCCGGGUCUUGUAGACACCGCCCGUCACACCAUGGGAGUGGGGUGCAACAGAAGUCGCCAAGCCAACCUUCGGGAGGCAGGCGCCCAAGUUGUGUCUGACGACUG
Molecule: ribosomal RNA, 1500 nt
Filed under: metagenome
Description: bacterial SSU rRNA
Rfam family: Bacterial small subunit ribosomal RNA
Source: RNAcentral